This 460-nucleotide ribosomal RNA is filed under the name uncultured bacterium. RNAcentral's name for it is "partial 16S ribosomal RNA". It matches the Rfam family "Bacterial small subunit ribosomal RNA", at positions 338 to 795 of the family's 1533-position model. The record is from RNAcentral.
CCUACGGGAGGCUGCAGUGAGGAAUAUUGGUCAAUGGGCGCUAGCCUGAACCAGCCAAGUAGCGUGAAGGAUGACUGCCCUAUGGGUUGUAAACUUCUUUUAUAUGGGAAUAAAGUGCAGUAUGUAUACUGCUUUGCAUGUACCUUAUGAAUAAGGAUCGGCUAACUCCGUGCCAGCAGCCGCGGUAAUACGGAGGAUCCGAGCGUUAUCCGGAUUUAUUGGGUUUAAAGGGAGCGUAGGCGGGUUGUUAAGUCAGUUGUGAAAGUUUGCGGCUCAACCGUAAAAUUGCAGUUGAUACUGGCAGCCUUGAGUACAGUAGAGGUAGGCGGAAUUCGUGGUGUAGCGGUGAAAUGCUUAGAUAUCACGAAGAACUCCGAUUGCGAAGGCAGCCUGCUGGACUGUAACUGACGCUGAUGCUCGAAAGUGUGGGUAUCAAACAGGAUUAGAUACCCUAGUAGUC